UCCCUGGUGGUCCAGUGGUUAAGACACUGUGCUUCCAAUGCAGGGGAAGCAGGUUCAACCCCUGGUCAGGGAA
RNAcentral lists this transfer RNA (73 nucleotides) under Ovis aries (sheep). It matches the Rfam family "tRNA". From Rfam's summary of the family: Transfer RNA (tRNA) molecules are approximately 80 nucleotides in length. Their secondary structure includes four short double-helical elements and three loops (D, anti-codon, and T loops). Lineage: Eukaryota; Metazoa; Chordata; Mammalia; Artiodactyla; Bovidae. The record is from Rfam by way of RNAcentral.